GAUGAACGCUGGCGGCGCGCCUAAUACAUGCAAGUCGAGCGAACAGACGAGGAGCUUGCUCCUCUGACGUUAGCGGCGGACGGGUGAGUAACACGUGGAUACCCUACCUAUAAGACUGGGAUAACUUCGGGACACCGGAGCUAAUACCGGAUAAUAUAUUGAACCGCGUGGUUCAAUAGUGAAAGACGGUUUUGCUGUCACUUAUAGCUGGAUCCGCGCCGCUUUGGCUGGUUGGUAAGGUCACGGCUUACCAAGGCGAGCAUGCGUAGCCGAAGUGAGAGGGGGGUCGGCCACACUGGAGCUGAGACACGGUCCAGACUCCUACGGGAGGCAGCAGUAGGGAAUCUUCCGCAGUGGUCGAAAGCCUGACGGAGCAACGCCGCGUGAGUGAUGAAGGUCUUCGGAUCGUAAAGCCCUGUUAUGAGGGAAGAACAAAUGUGUAAGUAACUGUGCACGUCUUGACGGUACCUAAUCAGAAAGCAACGGCUAACUACGUG
RNAcentral lists this ribosomal RNA (497 nucleotides) under uncultured bacterium. Its description in RNAcentral is "partial 16S ribosomal RNA". It matches the Rfam family "Bacterial small subunit ribosomal RNA", at positions 28 to 507 of the family's 1533-position model. The record is from RNAcentral.